GGGAAAAGUUCAAAACAUCACUGAAAAAAUGGAUGCCAUCCAUGACAUCUAUUUUUUAAGUGAAGUUGUCAAACUUUCUAUCAAUCUUCUUGUCCAUGACUUUAGUAUAUGACAGAAUUAUUGUAACAACUCUCAUCUAUUCCUUGGCACUCAUGCCAGUCAUGAAUUUAAUGACUUCUACCGAUGCCUCUUUAGGAAACUUCCCUACAAUCUUGUUUUGUGUUGCUGUUCUGUUUUAGGGGUGUAACUAAGAAGCUGUGCUUAUUUUUUUUAAUUAUUUAUUUAUUCUGUUUUAUGCUAUUGGACUUUAGUGCUCCGCAUAUUUUGGUUUUUGUGCGCACUUCAAGUGGAACAGCUUGCUAAUAAAAAAAAGUUUUCUCAUGCAUAGAGAACCAAAUGGUCACUUGAUUGAAGGUUUGUUGCUACUUUCAGGUUUAUCAGAAUGUUAAGAUGUAGAUUUAAUUUUAGGCUAGGGUUCAUUUUGUUUUCUUGUAAUGUUUAUGUGGUUUGUCAAUUUGUGUCUUGGCCAAUCAUGUUUUCUUCCUUUUGGACUAAAUGUUUAAUACAAGUGUUCUUUUCACCUUAGUUUUGUAAAAUGUUAUUAUUACCUUAUUGCCAAGAGGAAAAAAUCAUAAUAAUGAACUACUUACAAUUGCAAUGGGCACAGGUCAUCGUGCAACGCCCCAUAACUAGUGUAUACAUAUGUAGCAGGCCUACGAGUUGUACCUUUUUUGGAGUAGCCUAUGAGCUAUACCUCACCAUUGUAGAUGAUCUCUGCAAAUCUCCUCCCACACCUUUCCCCUCCCGUACAACUCACCACCCUCACUCUCUUUCCACUGCAAACCCCACCAUCACUCUUCGGCGACCCACUGUCGCGAUCCUUACACCGCAGCACCCUCAAUACUUCAGAGACCUCAUCUCCGACUGUCAAAGCUGUUGGUUAGGGUUUGGUUGUGAUUUCCACCUCGCAAGCCCGUCACACUUCGGCUCCAAGAGAGGAGAGUGAGAUUCAAAUAGAGAGAGAGAGGGGUCAACAGGGAGGGUAGCUAGGGAGUGACUGCCUAUUUGACCGUCGGACUUUAAAAUGGCCGGAGAAAAUGCCGGCCGAAGUUGUUGGGUUGGGGUCAAGGGUAAAAUUGUUUAAAAAAAAAAAACACUUUAAUUCAUUUUGAGUCAUAUCACCUCACAUUUUUUUAAAAAAAGUCAACUUUUAACUAUCUUCUCAAAACAUCUCUAAAGGUCACAAGUGUGGACUAUACAUCCAUGUGGGAUAUGUGGUCAGAUAUCCCUAACAGUAUCCAAAGUAAAAAAUGUAACCAUGCUCAAAAUAACACGUGUUAGGGGUAAAAGUGUUAUGUUGUGUCUAUGUAGGGUAAUAUAUACUAGUCUAUACAUAUAAGUUUGUCCCAUCAUUUCUUCUCUCGCUCUAGUCUUUUCAUCAUACACACUCAGUUGUAAUGGCUAAGAGAGCUUCUCUCGUCGUUGUAUUUUCCAUCAUCAAGCACCAUUUUAAAAGAGCUUCGAAUGAUGCAAAAAGCUUAGGGGUAUGAUUAUUUUUCAUUUCCUUUCGAUUUAUGUGAAUUUUUUGACUUUUUUUUUUUGCUUUUUCAUAUGAAGAUUGCGAUUAUUUCGAUAGAUAGAAGAUGAAGUUAAAAAAAAUUAUGUAUGGAGAGCAAUAUGAGUUUCUUCAUAAAAACAUUGAAAAAUGAUGAGCUGAAACUGGAUGAGGAGAAGGAUGAGAAGGAGACUGAUGGGAAGAAAAAGGAGGAGGAGCUUGUUGUUAAGGAGAAAUAUGAGAAGAGGAAGAACGAUGAAGAGGAGCUUGAUGAAAAGAAGAUGGUUGUGGAGGAGGAGAUGGAUGAAGAGGAGCUUGUUGAAAAGAAGAAGAAAGAUGAGUUCUAUUUGUCUUCAAUGAAAUCCCUCUCAAAGGUUAUGAUUAUUCAAGGCAUUGGGGACGUGACUUUGAAGAGUCUAGCCACCCUCCUUUCUGUUGCAAGGAAGUUUCCUAAAGAGUCACGGUAGAAGUCAUUAAAUUCAUGACUGGCAUAAGUGCCAAGGAAUAGAUGAGAAAUGUUACGUUAAUUUUGUCAUAUUUGAAGUUGUCAAACUUUCCAUCUAUUACAUCUAUUUUUUUAGUUAGGUUGUCAAACUUUCCAUCAAUCUUCUUGUCCAUGAUUUUAGUAUAUGACAGAAUUCUUGUAAUUGCCCUCAUGAUUUUAGUAUAUGCUAGUCAUGGAUUUAAUGACCUCUACCGAUGCCUCUUUAAGAGACUUUGCUGCAGCAGAGAGGGUGGCUAGACUCUUCAAAGUCAUGUCCCCAAUGCCCUGAAUAAUCAUAACCUUUGAGAGAGAUUCCAUUGAAGACAAAUAGAACUCAUCUUUCUUCUUCUUUUCAACAAGCUCCUCUUCAUCCAUCUCCCCCUCCUCAAGCUCCUCUUCAUCAUUCUUCCUUUUCUCAUAUUUCUCCUUAACAACAAGCUCGUCCUCCUUUUUCUUCCCAUCAGUCUCCUCAUCCUUCUCAUCAAGUUUCAGCUCAUCCUUUUUCAAAGUUCUUAUGAAUAAACUCAUAUUGCUCUCCAUACAUAAUUUUUUUUAACUUCAUCUUCAUCUUCUGUCUAUCGAAACAAUCACAUUCUUCAUAUGAAAAAUCAAAAACAAAAACAAAAACAAAGACAAAAACAAAAAAAAGGUCAAAAAAUCACGUAAAUCGAAAGGAAAUGAAAAAUAAUUAUACCCCUAAGCUUUUUGCAUCAUUCGAAGCUCUUUUAAAAUGGUGCUUGAUGAUGGAAAAUACAACAACGAGAGAAGCUCUCUUAGCCAUUACAACUGAGUGUGUAUGAUGAAAAGACUAGAGCGAGAGAAGAAAUGAUGGGACAAACUUAUAUGUAUAGGCUAGUAUAUAUUACCCUACAUAGACACAACAUAGCACUUUUACCCUAACACAUGUUAUUUUGAGGAUGGUUACAUUUUUUACAUUGGAUAAUGUCAGGGAUAUCUGACCACAUAUCCCACAUCGACAUAGAGUCCACACUUGUGACCUUUAGAGGUGUUUUGAGAAGAUAGUUAAAAGUUGAUUUUUUUAUUUUUUAUUUAUUUUUUUGACUUUUUUUUAAAAAAAGAAGUGUAAAAAAUGUGAGAGGUGAUGUGACUCAAAAUGAAUUAAAGUGUUUUUUUUUUUUUUAAAAACAAUUUUACCCUUGACCCCAACCCAACAGCUUCGGCUAGCAUUUUCUCUGGCCAUUUUAAAGUCCGACGACCAAAUAGGCAGUCACUCCCUAGCUACCCUCCCCAUUGACCCCUCCUCUCUCUCUCUGAGUCUCACUCUCCUCUCUUGGAGCCGAAGUGUGAGGGGCUUGCAAGGUGGAAAUCACAACAUAACCCUAACCACCAACUCCGACAGUCAGAGGUGAGGUCGCUGAAGUAUUGAGGGUGCUGCAGUGUAAGGAUCGCAACAGUGGGGGAGAAUGGGAGCAGUGGGUUGUCGGAGAGUGAUGAUGGGGGCGAGGUUUGCAGUGGAAAGAGAGUGAGGGUGGGUGAGACGUACGAGGGAGAAAGGUGUGGGAGGAGAUUUACAGAGAUAAUCUGCGAUGGUGAGGUAUAGCUCAUAGUCUACUAAAAAAAAAGUAUAGCUCAUAGGUCUGCUAUACAUAUGUAUACACUAGUUAUGGGGUGUUGUGCGUUGCACGAUGACCUGUGCCCAUGGCAUUUGUAAGUAGUUCAUUAUUAUGAUUUUUUUUCUCCCAGCAAUAAGGUAUAAUAACAUUUUACAAAACUAAGGUGAAAAGAACACAAGUAUUAAACAUUCAACCCAAAAGGAAGAAAACAUGAUUGGCCAAGACACAUAUUGACAAACCGCAUAAACAUUACGAGAAAACAAAAUGAACCCCAGUCUAAAAUUAAAUAUACAUCUUAACAUUCCUCAAACUGAUAAACCUAAAAGCAACAUCAUCAGCAACAAACUCUUCAAUCAAGUGACCAUUUGUUUCUCUAUGCAUGAGAAAACCUUUUUUUAUUAGUAAACCAUUCCACUUGAACUGCGCACAAAAACCAAAAUAUGCGGAGCACUAAAGUCUAAUAGCAUAAAACAAAACAAAAUAAAUAAAUGAUUUAAAAAGAAUAAGCACAGCUUCUCAAUUACACCCCUAAAACAGAGCAGCAACACAAAACAAGAUUUUAAUUCAUGAUCUCCAAAUUAAUCUUAAUCCAAAAGGCCACUCUUACCUAAAUCAAAUCAAAUGUACCUCAUUAAGUGGCAAAUCCUUAUUGGUUAUUCUAUUAUAGUUUACAACCAAAAGGUUUGUCACUUAACAUUGAGAUACAAGUCAUCAACCCAAAAAAAUAAAAUAAAAAAUAAAAAAAAAUUAACUAUUAAGGAAAAAGGCAAAAUUCAGAAAAUUUGUAAGAAAAAAGAAAAGAAAACCACAUACAUAGUGCCCAAUACUAAAAUGACUCUAAAAUCCAAGUGCACAUAUGGCGCGAACAAAUCAACUUCAGUUGCUAUUAUCUCAUGCAAAAGAAAUGACAAAGUUGCAACAUUAUUGAUCUGCAAAAAUGCAUGGAUAAGCAUUUUAGAAGGUUGCUUCUAAUUGCAACAAUAUAGGUACAAAUGUGUCAGAUAGCAUUGCCAAAACAAUAAUCACAAAACCAACCAAAGGAACAUGUAUAAUCUAUCAAUCUAUCUAUACUAUUAUAAAGCGAAGGUUGUUGGUGGCGUUUACACAAACAUGUCCCAUAUUUUUAGAGUUUUUGUAAAAAUUAUUCAAAGCGGAGGACGGUCCUCGAACCCAUGACCAUGGGUUUAAUAAUGGGUCUUAUAACAUAUGUGAAGAAUAAAAAUGUAAAUACACUCUGGUGAGAUUGAAUAAAUAAUAUAUAUUAUUUGUUAUUAUUAACCAACAUGUGGAUAGACAAAUAAAAGGAGUAUUUGAAAUUGAAGAGCUAAUAGGAAGAUAAAUUUUCAGAAAAAUAUUUUUUUUUUGGAAGUGUAUAAAAUAAUAUGUAUGAGAAACCCCUGUCAAAGCUAUAAAUUGAAACAUGUCAGGUUUGAAAAGAAUGGGCAUGGUAGAGUCCUUAUAACAAAGCACAUUACAAAUAAAAAAAAAUAUAUAUAAACCAACAAAACAAUCCAUGGUGGCUCCAAACUACCCCAUGCAUGUAUAUAAAUAUUAUGCUCAAUGGAUAAUUCCAUCAACCCCAGAUCUAUGCACAUAAACAAGAAAAGAAUAAUCACAAAAAUUGUAAAAUAUUGAUUGAGAAAAAAAAGAUACAUGAAUAAGAAAAAGAAAAAUCACAUAUCUAUGCACUUUGAAAACACUUUUUCCUCACAUAGAUAAAUAAAAUUUGUAGUUUGAGCCAUAACUAAAACAUGUAACUUUAAAGAAAAUCAAAACUCAUUUACAAAGCCUCAUGGAUCUGAACUUCAUACCCAAGAUGCCAAAAGAACACAAUAUAUGCACACAUAAAGAACAUUUACGUAAAAGUAUUAGCAAAACUGAAUAUCAAGUGAAAAUAAGAAAAGGUAACUGGACAAUGAAUUUUAUUAUUUAUUUUUCUUGGCAGGAAAAACACCAAUUUCUACCUAGAAGGUUUGAAAAGGAAACUGUGUUCCUUAUCCCUACAAAAGAGAAUCUUACUUGGACUCUUCUGCUUAAAAUACUAAAAGGAAACUAUAAUAAUUAUGUUAAAUUUAAACAAAAUAGUGACUUGAACUAUGAAUUUAAUCAUCUGACCACGGUAGAAUAGACAUUUAACAUUGGUCUUACAAAAAAACAAGUUAAGACAUCUCAUUUUUCACCCGUAGAACAAACCUUCAACAUUGGUCUUACCAAAAAAACAAAAAAAAAAA
Camellia sinensis is the source of this 5844-nucleotide non-coding RNA. The record is from RefSeq and is a predicted model, not a curated record. Lineage: Eukaryota; Viridiplantae; Streptophyta; Magnoliopsida; Ericales; Theaceae.